GGCGUUGUUCCAUCCGCACAUGAUUCUUCUCCCUGGAGGAGCGAGUGAUUACCUGCAAGGGCCAACUGAAGGCA
Small nucleolar RNA from Drosophila melanogaster (fruit fly), 74 nucleotides. The record is from Ensembl. Lineage: Eukaryota; Metazoa; Arthropoda; Insecta; Diptera; Drosophilidae.